This 378-nucleotide unclassified non-coding RNA is filed under the name uncultured bacterium. RNAcentral's name for it is "contains 16S-23S intergenic spacer region". The record is from RNAcentral.
UCCGAGUUGACCCCGGCAGUCUCCCAUGAGUCCCCGCCAUUACGCGCUGGCAACAUGGAACGAGGGUUGCGCUCGUUGCGGGACUUAACCCAACAUCUCACGACACGAGCUGACGACAGCCAUGCACCACCUGUGCACAGGCCCCGAAGGGCUGCCGUAUUUCUACGACAUUCCAGUGCAUGUCAAGCCCUGGUAAGGUUCUUCGCGUCGCGUCGAAUUAAACCACAUGCUCCGCUGCUUGUGCGGGCCCCCGUCAAUUCCUUUGAGUUUCAGCCUUGCGGCCGUACUCCCCAGGCGGGGCACUUAUCGCGUUAGCGCCGGUACUCCAAGGGUCGCUCCCCGGAGCACCUAGUGCCCAUCGUUUACGGCGUGGACUAC